Molecule: ribosomal RNA, 539 nt
Filed under: uncultured bacterium
Lineage: Bacteria
Description: partial 16S ribosomal RNA
Rfam family: Bacterial small subunit ribosomal RNA
Source: RNAcentral
UGGGGAAUCUUCCGCAAUGGACGAAAGUCUGACGGAGCAACGCCGCGUGUAUGAUGAAGGUCUUCGGAUUGUAAAGUACUGUCAUUGGGGAAGAACGGUUUUCUUGAGAAUAUUGAGAAGACAUGACGGUACCCAAGGAGGAAGCCCCGGCUAACUACGUGCCAGCAGCCGCGGUAAUACGUAGGGGGCAAGCGUUGUCCGGAAUUAUUGGGCGUAAAGGGCGCGUAGGCGGGCCUUUAAGUCCGGUGUGAAAGAUCAGGGCUCAACCCUGAGAGUGCAUCGGAAACUGGAGGCCUUGAGGACAGGAGAGGAAAGUGGAAUUCCACGUGUAGCGGUGAAAUGCGUAGAUAUGUGGAGGAACACCAGUGGCGAAGGCGACUUUCUGGACUGUAACUGACGCUGAGGCGCGAAAGCGUGGGGAGCAAACAGGAUUAGAUACCCUGGUAGUCCACGCCGUAAACGAUGAGUGCUAGGUGUAGGAGGUAUCGACCCCUUCUGUGCCGCAGUUAACACAAUAAGUACUCCGCCUGGGAAGUACG